This 576-nucleotide ribosomal RNA is filed under the name uncultured bacterium. Its description in RNAcentral is "bacterial SSU rRNA". It matches the Rfam family "Bacterial small subunit ribosomal RNA", at positions 102 to 674 of the family's 1533-position model. The record is from RNAcentral.
ACGGGUGAGUAAUACAUCGGAACGUAUCCUGGAGUGGGGGAUAGCCCGGCGAAAGCCGGAUUAAUACCGCAUACGCUCUGAGGAGGAAAGCGGGGGACCUUCGGGCCUCGCGCUCAAGGGGCGGCCGAUGGCGGAUUAGGUAGUUGGUGGGGUAAAGGCCUACCAAGCCGACGAUCCGUAGCUGGUCUGAGAGGACGACCAGCCACACUGGGACUGAGACACGGCCCAGACUCCUACGGGAGGCAGCAGUGGGGAAUUUUGGACAAUGGGGGCAACCCUGAUCCAGCAAUGCCGCGUGUGUGAAGAAGGCCUUCGGGUUGUAAAGCACUUUUGUCCGGAAAGAAAUCAUCGGGGCCAAUACCCCUGGUGGAUGACGGUACCGGAAGAAUAAGCACCGGCUAACUACGUGCCAGCAGUCGCGGUAAUACGUAGGGUGCGAGCGUUAAUCGGAAUUACUGGGCGUAAAGCGUGCGCAGGCGGUGCUGUAAGACCGAUGUGAAAUCCCCGGGCUUAACCUGGGAACUGCAUUGGUGACUGCAGCGCUGGAGUAUGGCAGAGGGGGGUGGAAUUCCACGU